RNAcentral lists this ribosomal RNA (498 nucleotides) under uncultured bacterium. RNAcentral describes it as "partial 16S ribosomal RNA". It matches the Rfam family "Bacterial small subunit ribosomal RNA", at positions 30 to 523 of the family's 1533-position model. The record is from RNAcentral.
AUUGAACGCUGGCGGCAUGCCUUACACAUGCAAGUCGAACGGUAACAGGUCUUCGGAUGCUGACGAGUGGCGAACGGGUGAGUAAUACAUCGGAACGUGCCUAGUAGUGGGGGAUAACUACUCGAAAGAGUGGCUAAUACCGCAUGAGAUCUACGGAUGAAAGCAGGGGAUCGCAAGACCUUGUGCUACUAGAGCGGCCGAUGGCAGAUUAGGUAGUUGGUGGGAGAAAAGCUUACCAAGCCGACGAUCUGUAGCUGGUCCGAGAGGACGAUCAGCCACACUGGGACUGAGACACGGCCCAGACUCCUACGGGAGGCAGCAGUGGGGAAUUUUGGACAAUGGGCGAAAGCCUGAUCCAGCAAUGCCGCGUGCAGGAUGAAGGCCUUCGGGUUGUAAACUGCUUUUGUACGGAACGAAAAGCCCCGGGUUAAUACCCUGGGGUCAUGACGGUACCGUAAGAAUAAGCACCGGCUAACUACGUGCCAGCCGCCGCGGUAA